Molecule: long non-coding RNA, 2880 nt
Organism: Labrus mixtus (cuckoo wrasse)
Lineage: Eukaryota; Metazoa; Chordata; Actinopteri; Labriformes; Labridae
Exons: 5
Source: RefSeq, a predicted model, not a curated record
CUGCAGUCCUCUGAUACUGUUAAUGUGGAUCAACAACACCACAGCUCCCCCUAGUGGUUCAAAGUUCCCCUGCAGCGGCAGCUCAUGUUCUCCUCUGUGGUUGGAGCACUUACAUCUGAAAAGAGAGAGACAGAAAUUUGUUGGGAGGAGAAAGGGUCGAGGUCGGACUCGAACCCAGGCUGCGACCACAAGGACUACAGUCUCCAAACAUGGGGUCAUAACUGCUCGGCUCUCCGGCGCCGUCUUAAAUGAACCGGUGCUAAGUCACAGUAAAGUGCUCCACAGCGUCCUCGGAGAAGGAAUCGAGAGGAGGCAUUGAGCAGAUACUCAGACCCGUCACGGAGCCUGAGGAAAGGCGAGAGAAGAUGACAGUUACAACCUCCAAACACACGGGCGUUUAUACAUCGAUCAUCACUUUUACAUCUGCUUCAGUCUUCAGACAGCAUCAGAGUGAUUCAGAGGGGGUUUCCGUCUUACUGGAGUCGCAGACAGUUGGCUUUUUUGGUGUACUCAGGUGCGGGCGUGCACUCAGCUCCCAGCAGGUUCAGCGGCAGACCGCAUGCAGAGCUCUGCAGCAGAAAGGAAUCAUAACUAACUUCAUGAAAUCCAUUUCAAUGAUUCAUCAUUUCUGAUUCUUUGAGUUGUAUAUUUCUGCUCACCCUCAGUGUGUCCUUUCUGUCCUGGUAGAAGCACAAGGUGUGUCUGUAGAGGACAGCGUGGUACGAGUUCCAGCCUCUGGAGGUCGCCUGUGAAAAUAAGAUAUGAGUUUGUGCUGCCGCCUGCGAGCUUUCCAUCUGCUGCCUGAAACUCUGAACGAGUCUUUCUUACUUUCUUUCCUCCAAACUGCAGCUUGUGUUUCCGCUCCAGUGUACCCUCCAUCGACUGCAGCUCAGACUUUCCACUCUGAGAGAAAUAAACGCGGCAACAUUUACACAAAAUGAAACAAACACCUCCCUCUGAGCCGUAUUUCUAACAGAUUGAAUUCACUCUCACCAGGGUGAUACAGCGCCCUCUGGUGGACAUCGGUUCUUCCUGCGUCUCCUUGACGUCCAGGCUGCGAGAGGCUUUUCUCUGCUGACAGACGCCGUCCACAUUCAUAUGAACUGACAGCAGACUCAUCGACUGGUCCUGAUCAGAGAGACAGAGACGACAGAAGGCUGCUGAAGAUGGAGCUGCUGCCACCCGCGGUCAUAGGGUGGAAGGUCACGUUGGCUGUCUGAGGUGCAGGCGCUGAGGAUGACGGAGAAGAGGAGGAGGACGACGGCGAGAAAGUAGGGGAGGCUGAGGCUGCAGAGCGGCUCUUUUGGCGGGGCAGGGUGAUACUCUCGUACACUGGCGCUGCAGACGAGUUGUUAUCCUUCACAUGCAGAGCUUCCAGGCAGAAAUCCAGACUCAUGAACGAGUCCAGGUCCAAAGAAAAGUUUCAUCAGAGGAAAGUUGGACUGUAAGCGUACUGAUUAAUUGUCUGAGCGUCUGCAGGGGAUUUAUUCAUUCAUCUGAGUUUACACAAGACGAGCUGAAGGGAAAAAGACUACUGACAGAUGAUUGUACUCAGAGGUCGUCGUCGUCUUUAGUCAAAGGUCCGCCUUUGUUUUCACUGCGUCUAGCUUACUUAACAAUCCGUGUUAAACGGGUUACAAGACUCCCUUAACUCUCCAAACUGCAGAGAUAACUCAGAGUUUAUUUCACACCAAGCACUCGACAACAGUUUGUAACCCUACUUCACUAUGAAUCCAAAUCGUUUAACUGGAUAUGAAAAGAUUUCUGAGUUGUAAUAAUACUUAUGUUGGGUAUAAAAACAUUGAAUGUUUAUGCGUCAUGUUAAUACGUCAUGAUUACUUGGAACAAGGCAACACAACACAGCACAUAGAAAAUAUGUUGUCACGAUGUAGAAGAGACGCUUCACUGCAUUUCAGUCAUAUUGUUUAAGUCCGACACAGAACCUCUUGUCUUUUGCAUAAAAAUUGAAUGACACAUCCGUUACUCAACACUACCGACAUUUACUAAUGUUGAAACUGAUUACAGCUGAUCUGGGAUCCGUUCAGAUCACCCCCCCACGGCUCGGGCCUCUUGUGAUCUACUUAACAAACAGGAAGUCAAUUCAGUCUUUUAAAGAACUUAAAUGAGUUCUUUGCAGACUUUCAAACAGAGACGCGGUGUCGUUAAGUGUUAAUAUUUCAUUGUGUACGCUUUCUUUGUUUCUCACACUGUCUGUGCUUAUCAUGCAGGUAUCUGCUGGUUGCUACGGGUGACCACAAUCAGAAACGUAUCGUUAACAUCACAGCGUGCUGUCGUCUGUGGUGGUAAACUCGACCAAACAAACUCAGUACAGAGCGCUGUGAUUGGUACAAAAUAUAAAGUCCCUAAAUGCAUUACCAUGCACUCUUUAUACAUGUAUAUGCUAGAUCUGUAUUUUAAUCAAACUGUCUUUACUCUUAAAGCACUUCAUCUUUUUGUUAUGACGCUCAUUUUGUCUACUUUCAUGUCAAACACUUGAUUCAUUUAUUUCCUGAUUGUGAAGCCUUCAAGUCUCUGAUUGUUUAAGUUUCUGCAGUUCAGUUUGAAAUGAUGCAUUUAACAGUGAAGUGUUUUUUUUUAUUUUCUCUCAUUAACUAUACUUUAAUCCAGCUGCGUUGACUUUGUCGAUGGUGUAUGAGCACAUAUGACAACACUUUAGGAUGACUUGUUUUGGUUUUGUACUUUUACACCCGGUGUGCAGACAGGGCACCAGCAGCUCCGCUGCAGCCUGACUGAACCUCGUAACAGGAGUUAGUAGAGCAUGCUGCCUGCAGAAACAACAACCUCACACAGCAUGCAGUCCCAGCACACUUUGAGACGCAGCAUGCAGCGCCAAUUCACAAUGCGCAAUUUACCUCGUUU